GUGCCUUUAACUCAACUGGAUAGAGUGACGGCCUUCUAAGCCGUAAGUUCUAGGUUCGAGCCCUAGAAGGCAUG
This 74-nucleotide transfer RNA is filed under the name Hemiarma marina. RNAcentral's name for it is "tRNA-Arg". It matches the Rfam family "tRNA". Rfam says of the family: Transfer RNA (tRNA) molecules are approximately 80 nucleotides in length. The record is from RNAcentral. Lineage: Eukaryota; Cryptophyceae; Goniomonadida; Goniomonadaceae.